Molecule: ribosomal RNA, 505 nt
Filed under: uncultured bacterium
Lineage: Bacteria
Description: partial 16S ribosomal RNA
Rfam family: Bacterial small subunit ribosomal RNA
Source: RNAcentral
ACUCAAAGGAAUUGACGGGGGCCCGCACAAGCGGUGGAACAUGUGGUUUAAUUCGAUGCAACGCGAAGAACCUUACCUGGGCUUGACAUCUAGGGAAUCCUGUGGAAACACGGGAGUGCCUUCGGGAACCCUAAGACAGGUGGUGCACGGUUGUCGUCAGCUCGUGUCGUGAGAUGUUGGGUUAAGUCCCGCAACGAGCGCAACCCUCGUUGUCUGUUGCUACAGACUGUAAAGUGCUGAGCACUCAGGCGAGACUGCCGGUGACAAACCGGAGGAAGGUGGGGAUGACGUCAAAUCAUCAUGCCCCUUAUGUCCAGGGCGACACACGUGUUACAAUGGGAUGGGACAACGGGCAGCCAGCCAGCGAUGGUGAGCUAAUCCCUUAAACCCACCCUCAGUUCGGAUUGGAGUCUGCAACUCGACUCCAUGAAGUCGGAAUCGCUAGUAACCGCGGAUCAGCCAUGCCGCGGUGAAUACGUUCCCGGGCCUUGUACACACCGCCCGU